This 253-nucleotide ribosomal RNA is filed under the name uncultured bacterium. RNAcentral's name for it is "partial 16S ribosomal RNA". It matches the Rfam family "Bacterial small subunit ribosomal RNA", at positions 524 to 776 of the family's 1533-position model. The record is from RNAcentral.
UACGUAGGUGGCAAGCGUUAUCCGGAAUUAUUGGGCGUAAAGAGCGCGCAGGUGGUUAAUUAAGUCUGAUGUGAGAGCCCACGGCUUAACCGUGGAGGGUCAUUGGAAACUGGUUGACUUGAGUGCAGAAGAGGGAAGUGGAAUUCCAUGUGUAGCGGUGAAAUGCGUAGAGAUAUGGAGGAACACCAGUGGCGAAGGCGGCUUCCUGGUCUGCAACUGACACUGAGGCGCGAAAGCGUGGGGAGCAAACAGG